RNAcentral lists this ribosomal RNA (506 nucleotides) under uncultured bacterium. Its description in RNAcentral is "partial 16S ribosomal RNA". It matches the Rfam family "Bacterial small subunit ribosomal RNA", at positions 30 to 523 of the family's 1533-position model. The record is from RNAcentral.
AUUGAACGUUGGCGGCAGGCCUAACACAUGCAAGUCGGACGGUAGCACAGAGGAGCUUGCUCCUCGGGUGACGAGUGGCGGACGGGUGAGUAAUGUCUGGGGAUCUGCCCGAUAGAGGGGGAUAACCACUGGAAACGGUGGCUAAUACCGCAUAACGUCGCAAGACCAAAGAGGGGGACCUUCGGGCCUCUCACUAUCGGAUGAACCCAGAUGGGAUUAGCUAGUAGGCGGGGUAAUGGCCCACCUAGGCGACGAUCCCUAGCUGGUCUGAGAGGAUGACCAGCCACACUGGAACUGAGACACGGUCCAGACUCCUACGGGAGUCAGCAGUGGGGAAUAUUGCACAAUGGGCGCAAGCCUGAUGCAGCCAUGCCGCGUGUAUGAAGAAGGCCUUCGGGUUGUAAAGUACUUUCAGCGGGGAGGAAGGCGAUAAGGUUAAUAACCUUGUCGAUUGACGUUACCCGCAGAAGAAGCACCGGCUAACUCCGUGCCAGCAGCCGCAGUAA